GUGGGGAAUUUUGGACAAUGGGGGCAACCCUGAUCCAGCCAUGCCGCGUGAGUGAAGAAGGCCUUCGGGUUGUAAAGCUCUUUCAGCCGGGAAGAAAGCGCACUCUCUAACAUAGGGUGUGGAUGACGGUACCGGAAGAAGAAGCACCGGCUAACUACGUGCCAGCAGCCGCGGUAAUACGUAGGGUGCGAGCGUUAAUCGGAAUUACUGGGCGUAAAGGGUGCGCAGGCGGUUUUGUAAGACAGAUGUGAAAUCCCCGGGCUUAACCUGGGAACUGCGUUUGUGACUGCAAGGCUAGAGUACGGCAGAGGGGGGUGGAAUUCCGCGUGUAGCAGUGAAAUGCGUAGAUAUGCGGAGGAACACCGAUGGCGAAGGCAACCCCCUGGGCCUGUACUGACGCUCAUGCACGAAAGCGUGGGGAGCAAACAGGAUUAGAUACCCUAGUAGUCC
Molecule: ribosomal RNA, 450 nt
Filed under: uncultured Thauera sp.
Lineage: Bacteria; Pseudomonadati; Pseudomonadota; Betaproteobacteria; Rhodocyclales; Zoogloeaceae
Description: bacterial SSU rRNA
Rfam family: Bacterial small subunit ribosomal RNA
Source: RNAcentral